Oncorhynchus keta (chum salmon) is the source of this 665-nucleotide long non-coding RNA. RefSeq lists it as uncharacterized. The transcript is spliced from 3 exons. NCBI's taxonomy places the organism in Eukaryota, Metazoa, Chordata, Actinopteri, Salmoniformes, Salmonidae. The record is from RefSeq and is a predicted model, not a curated record.
AUUAAGAGUUGGGGUCAUUAAGAGUUGUGGGGUCAUUAAGAGUUGUGGGGUCAUUAAGAGUUUUGGGGUCAUUAAGAGUUGUGGGGUCAUUAAGAGUUGGGGUCAUUAAGAGUUGUGGGGUCAUUAAGAGUUGUGGGGUCAUUAAGAGUUGGGGUAAUUAAGAGUUGUGGGGUCAUUAAGAGUUGGGGUAAUUAAGAGUUGUGGGGUCAUUAAGAGUUGGGGUAAUUAAGAGUUGUGGGGUCAUUAAGAGUUGGGGUAAUUAAGAGUUGUGGGGUCAUUAAGAGUUGUGGGGUCAUUAAGAGUUGUGGGGUCAUUAAGAGUUGGGGUAAUUAAGAGUUGUGGGGUCAUUAAGAGUUGUGGGGUAAUUAAGAGUUGUGGGGUCAUUAAGAGUUGUGGGGUCAUUAAGAGUUGUGGGGUCAUUAAGAGUUGUGGGGUCAUUAAGAGUUGUGGGGUAAUUAAGAGUUGUGGGGUAAUUAAGAGUUGUGGGGUAAUUAAGAGUUGUGGGGUAAUUAAGAGUUGUGGGGUCAUUAAGAGUUGUGGGGUAAUUAAGAGUUGUGGGGUCAUUAAGAGUUUUGGGGUAAUUAAGAGUUGUGGGGUAAUUAAGAGUUGUGGGGUCAUUAAGAGUUGUGGGGUCAUUAAGAGUUGUGGGGUCAUUAAGAGUUGUG